AUGAUUGCUCGCGCGAGGCUUGGCACAAAAGUGAUCUCGCGCGAACAGCCCUGCUGCGGUACUGAGGUAAACAGAAGAAAACUGCGGAUCCGCUUCGGACUUGGGUUUAAAGCGAUGGACGCGUUGGACAUGUUAUUACAGCAAACAGACUAUCACAAUUUUGAGAGAGAGGCUAAGUACCACUACCUCGCUAACUUUCCUCCAAGACAAGAGUCAGGAUACUACAGUGAGGUGAACAUCUUGGUUCUCAGGGAGGUUACUACCAAAUCUGUCUCUAUGAAGCUGCGGCGCAGGACAGUCCUGAGAAGCCGACGGCUUCGACAGCGAGAACAUGUGAAGGACUCUGAGAGCAUCUCUGUGGUGUUGAGGGACGCUGACUCUAGUCAGUCAGACAGUGUGGAAGAAAUAAAAGAUCAGGUGUCUGUUCUUCGUGAUAUGGAGCGGCCGGUAAGGAAGAGUAGAGCUGGUUCAUCUUGUCGCGUGAGAAAAGAAGGCGAGAGGCCGCUUUCUGAUGUGGAAGCACAACCUGGGACGGUUCAGAAGAUCUCCCUGGCUCCAGGUGCAAUGGCUGAGGACACUCUAGAGAAACUCAGGUUUAGGGCUAAUACCUCUAAGACCAAGAUCGAGAUUGAGUCUCGAGCAGAGCUUGAGUCUAUUUUGGACGAAUCCAGUACUGAUUUCACAGUGGAAUCGGGUCCCAGCUCACCCUGUCGUCCUCUCAAUACAGUAAGAUGCAGAGAGUGCGAGAGACUUUUCGCAAAGAUGAGAAAACAUCCCACCCCGGAAAAGAAAAGCAGAGAUACAGAUCCAGCAUCUUUAUCUUGUGAUGUGUGGGUUCUGCUUAAGAAGUGGCACCCUCAGAGACACCGUCAUCGAGAGAAGGGAUUAUUGUGGACGAGCCUGAGUCGGAUCAGGAAGCUGUUAGCAGGAGGCUCCGACUUUGCAGCUGUCAACAGAACAGAAGCAAACUGCUCCAGACCUCAUGUAUUUCAGCAGAGGAAUUUACGGCGCUGCAAGUAUCUGCUUUCCAUUCAGACCAACCGGUCCAUUACCAAAGCAAAGCCACGGCAUCGUAAGAGGUCACGAUCUGUGGUCUGGCCACCCCUCGCUGGCUGGACAUCUUCAGUGAAAAGGAAGCCUUCUUUGAACAACACAUUUUCUCAGCAGCUUUCUCCUCUCAACCUUAGUGUUAGGAUGACACAGGAGGACAAACUGUUUGUAGAUGAUAAGAUUUCAAGAUUAAAUGCAGAUUUGAAGCAGAACUCAGAUGCCUCCAGCGAACAGAGGACGACUAAUGUCCGUGGCAAACUGAACAAGCAGGAAGUGUUUGAUGGCAUAGAAGGAACGCGGCGGGUGCUGAAGUUUGAUGAAACGCCUGAAACUGUUGCUGUGGAAGCUGCGGAACAGAGGAAAAGCCCUCGGCAGAAGCACAAACGUGGAGUGAUUCGUGAAGCUCAGAAUGGUUUCCAGAAUGAGCAGCAGGAGGAGAUUUCUGAGGAUUCGGAUGGGUUCAGGACUCCCACAGAUCUGUUCAGCGUGAAGCCUAAAAUGAAAGGAGGGAACCAGAAGAAAGUCUCUGCCUCUGGUGUAACAAAACCUGCCGCUCAGAAGCCCAACUUCAUGUCCAUGUUAGCCACUCUGGUGAAGAAUCAGAAUCAGAUUAUUAAAGAGUCCUGCAAAUGA
Long non-coding RNA from Cyprinus carpio (common carp), 1683 nucleotides. NCBI's taxonomy places the organism in Eukaryota, Metazoa, Chordata, Actinopteri, Cypriniformes, Cyprinidae. The record is from Ensembl.